UGAACGCUGGCGGCGUGCUUAACACAUGCAAGUCGAACGGUGAAGCCAAGCUUGCUUGGUGGAUCAGUGGCGAACGGGUGAGUAACACGUGAGCAACCUGCCCUGGACUCUGGGAUAAGCGCUGGAAACGGCGUCUAAUACUGGAUAUGAGCUCUCAUCGCAUGGUGGGGGUUGGAAAGAUUUUUUGGUCUGGGAUGGGCUCGCGGCCUAUCAGCUUGUUGGUGAGGUAAUGGCUCACCAAGGCGUCGACGGGUAGCCGGCCUGAGAGGGUGACCGGCCACACUGGGACUGAGACACGGCCCAGACUCCUACGGGAGGCAGCAGUGGGGAAUAUUGCACAAUGGGCGAAAGCCUGAUGCAGCAACGCCGCGUGAGGGAUGACGGCCUUCGGGUUGUAAACCUCUUUUAGCAGGGAAGAAGCGAAAGUGACGGUACCUGCAGAAAAAGCGCCGGCUAACUACGUGCCAGCAGCCGCGGUAAUACGUAGGGCGCAAGCGUUAUCCGGAAUUAUUGGGCGUAAAGAGCUCGUAGGCGGUUUGUCGCGUCUGCUGUGAAAUCCCGAGGCUCAACCUCGGGCCUGCAGUGGGUACGGGCAGACUAGAGUGCGGUAGGGGAGAUUGGAAUUCCUGGUGUAGCGGUGGAAUGCGCAGAUAUCAGGAGGAACACCGAUGGCGAAGGCAGAUCUCUGGGCCGUAACUGACGCUGAGGAGCGAAAGGGUGGGGAGCAAACAGGCUUAGAUACCCUGGUAGUCCACCCCGUAAACGUUGGGAACUAGUUGUGGGGACCAUUCCACGGUUUCCGUGACGCAGCUAACGCAUUAAGUUCCCCGCCUGGGGAGUACGGCCGCAA
This 850-nucleotide ribosomal RNA is filed under the name bacterium RBA-1-23. RNAcentral describes it as "bacterial SSU rRNA". It matches the Rfam family "Bacterial small subunit ribosomal RNA", at positions 30 to 891 of the family's 1533-position model. The record is from RNAcentral.